CGAUAUUGGAAGCUUGCUUCCGAUAGGCGUCGACCGGCGCACGGGUGAGUAACGCGUAUCCAACCUGCCCACCACUUGGGGAUAACCUUGCGAAAGUAAGACUAAUACCCAAUGAUAUCUCUAGAAGACAUCUGAAAGGGAUUAAAGAUUUAUCGGUGAUGGAUGGGGAUGCGUCUGAUUAGCUUGUUGGCGGGGUAACGGCCCACCAAGGCGACGAUCAGUAGGGGUUCUGAGAGGAAGGUCCCCCACAUUGGAACUGAGACACGGUCCAAACUCCUACGGGAGGCAGCAGUGAGGAAUAUUGGUCAAUGGGCGAGAGCCUGAACCAGCCAAGUAGCGUGCAGGAUGACGGCCCUAUGGGUUGUAAACUGCUUUUAUAAGGGAAUAAAGUGAGCCUCGUGAGGCUUUUUGCAUGUACCUUAUGAAUAAGGACCGGCUAAUUCCGUGCCAGCAGCCGCGGUAAUACGGAAGGUCCGGGCGUUAUCCGGAUUUAUUGGGUUUAAAGGGAGCGUAGGCCGGAGAUUAAGCGUGUUGUGAAAUGUAGAUGCUCAACAUCUGCACUGCAGCGCGAACUGGUUUCCUUGAGUACGCACAAAGUGGGCGGAAUUCGUGGUGUAGCGGUGAAAUGCUUAGAUAUCACGAAGAACUCCGAUUGCGAAGGCAGCUCACUGGAGCGCAACUGACGCUGAAGCUCGAAAGUGCGGGUAUCGAACAGGAUUAGAUACCCUGGUAGUCCGCACGGUAAACGAUGGAUGCCCGCUGUUGGUCUGAAUAGGUCAGCGGCCAAGCGAAAGCAUUAAGCAUCCCACCUGGGGAGUACGCCGGCAACGGUGAAACUCAAAGGAAUU
Molecule: ribosomal RNA, 848 nt
Filed under: uncultured bacterium
Lineage: Bacteria
Description: bacterial SSU rRNA
Rfam family: Bacterial small subunit ribosomal RNA
Source: RNAcentral